Trichonephila clavata is the source of this 74-nucleotide non-coding RNA. The record is from the annotation of a GenBank genome assembly. Lineage: Eukaryota; Metazoa; Arthropoda; Arachnida; Araneae; Nephilidae.
CGUUCUGUAGCGCAAUAGAUAGCGUGUUGGACCUCUAAUCCAAAUGUCGUGGGUUCAAAUACCGCCUGAAAUGG